UCUAAGGGUUGGAACUUUAGGCUCUUAAAGGGACAGCCACAGAGUUUUGCGAAAUAUUAAUUUCAGAAACCUUGUUAUUGCGGUUUGCUACCAUUUAUUCCCCACUUUUCUCUAAACGUAAUCCCCCUGAAAACAUAUUGUGAUUGUUGUUCUUUGCUAUCAAUAAUUGUUAUAAUUGGGAAUUUGGCUUCCUUACAAAAGGCGGCUCACUUUUUUUUUUCCCUCACAGCCAAGUAAACACAGGAAGGGCAGUGCAGUGCAGUGCAGUGCAGUGCAGGCAAAGAUAUUAUAAAGUUGGAGAUUUCCCACUCAACUACAGCCAUGGAGGGCCAGAGUGCUGAACUGUUUUUCAGUGUUUCCUUCUAAUUGGACUGAUUCAGAUCUGGAUGGGGACACCUGUAACACAAGGUGUGAUUUGGCAAAACAAGAUUAUUGGGGGCCCCUACAACACCUCCCUGAAGCUUACCAAUGAACCAGAGGCCACCCCUGCUUCCUACCCAGUACCACAGACCGUUAUCAAACCAUACAGUAGGCCAGCACACUCCACUCUUCUACCUGUAGCUGCCUGAUACUGCUUCUCAGGAUGUCUUCAUUGUUCUGGUGCCUCAUUGGAUCGGUCUUGCGAUUGACUACAGCUGCUUAGUCUUUCUUGCCAGACUCAUGGUUGGCACUAAUAGACUCAUGGUUGGCCAUUAAUAGAUGCAAACUGCUUUAGCGCCUAUUAACAAUAGUAUCUUCUGGUCGGGGGCGUUUUGUUAAGAUCCCCGAGACUCGUUCUGAGCGUUAUGGUUUGUGGUAUGGUUUUGGAAACAUAAGGAAAUAUCUUUCAUAUCAGCGACAAAUAAUAAUUAAAAAAAGGUUAAAUUACUACACACCUUUAUAGGGUUAGCGUAAGUGUUCCCACACAGCCAUAUCUCCAUGUUACAUCACUUGUUUACGGAAGACAGACUGAAGACAUAGGUGGCAAGCCACCUGUGCUAAUUAGCUAUCUAGCGUGCUCGGAACACCUGUGUGUAAGCGUAACUGGGGAGGAAGUGUAGUUCUUCAACUGUAGGCACACACAGCUUGUCUGUCUGUGCAAACUGCUACAGUAAGUGUACAACUUUUAUAUGAAAGGUUCUUUCUUGUUGAUAUUAAAGAAAAGAGUCUGAAAACCCUACAUAUGGAGAAGAAGUGAUCCCCAGAGCUGACUGAUUCCUCCCUUCACUGUUAUUUUGCUUGUCCUGCUGCAUGCAUGCUGUCAGCCUGUUUUGAUGUAAAAAUUCAUGUUGAUAUGCUAAUAUUGAAUGUUGUUGAUGUUUACCCUUUCAGACUCCAUGGUACCAGUUUGCCUCUGGAUUUUUAAACCCAACUGAGAAACUGAGGACAUGUGCGUCAACUUGUUUCAGGACAUUGUCUUUGACUGGAAGAUGUAGGCAGGCUUUACAUCUUGGGGGAUUUUGUACAGUAGGCAACACUUCUGGGAGCAUUUGCACCAAAUUUUACAGCUGCUGUGUGGCUGACGGUUGCGGCACUAAUAGCUGAGGGUUGUGACACCAGUUCAUACUGAUAGUCGUGCACAAGUCCAAAUACAGUGCUGAAAGGCAUAAUCAACAGUGCUUUGUUUAGCUAGCUUGCUGGCUAAUGCUAUGCAGCACAAAUGCCAAAGUCUGAACAAUUGCAAUAAAGGUUAAAACCAGAAAAAGUAUAUUUGACAGUGUCAAUUAGUUUGUUGCAUUAGCAACGAAUCAACAUUCCAAAAUUGUUUUUAUUGAAAUGGAACCCUAUUAAGAAUAACACAUUGACGUUCUGGACUUUCGAACACAUCUCACGCUUCGUGAAGCCAUUGUUUGAUCACGGACAGAAAUUAGUGAAGCAAGUAAAUAAUGUCAUUACUGCCUAAGAUAACUUUACGCCUAUUUGGCAGAGAGACAUUUUCUUCAUGACCAGUUCAAGUGUAUAUCCGCGAAAAUGUCUUCUUCCUCUGGUGGACAUGGAAGCAGACUUGGAAGGGGGAUUCCUUAAAAAAUACCGGGCCAGGUACCCCAACGAACUGUACAUCACCCUGGAGGACAGACAAGGAUUCUGGGUGUCAUCUCAGUAUGGGAACUUGAGGCGUGAUCUGUGUUGAAGUAGUUCUGAACUGUCCAUGUUGCCUGUAUUUGGCUCCAUUCAUUGUUCCCUCUAUCCUUACCAGUCUCCCAGUCCCUGAAAAGCAUCACCAGUCUCCCAGACGCUGAAAAGCAUCCCCAUAGCAUGAUGCUGCCACCACCAUGCUCCACAGUAGGGAUGGUGUUAGACAGGUGAUGAGUUGUGCCUGGUUUUCUCCAAACAUAGCACUUUGCAUUACAUUUUUGUUUCGUCAGACCACAGAAUCUUUUUAUAUUAUUUGUAUUUAAUUUUUUUAUUUAACCAGGCAAGUCAGUUAACAACAAAUUGUUAUUUACAAUGACGGCCUACCCUGGCCAAACCCGGACGAUGCUGGGUCAAUUGUGCGCUGCCCUAUGGGACUCCCAAUCAUGGCCAGAUGUGAUACAGCCUGGAAUCGAACCAGGGAUUGUGACACCUCUUGCACUGAGAUGCAGUGCCUUAGACCGCUGCACCACUCGGAAGCACUCAUGACAUAGUGUGCUCUGCUGAAUGUCUUUGCUAUGCGUUGUUUGCAUAGCUAAAAAGUCACCAUGCUUAGUGCCUACAGUAUUUCUGGGAAAACUAUUUUUAUAGCUGUAACCUUUGCUUUACCCUUUGUUAGUGUUUCACUUUGGCCUAGCUGAUGUGAACAACCAUAUAGCAGUUAACUUCAAGGGCAAUUGUCCUCAUUUAACAAAUUCACAGGUCUCCCUGUUCCAUCAUUAGCCUACAUUCUCAUGUUAGGACAUCUUCUUUGCUCACCUGUAUGUUGUUGAAACUGUAUGUUGUUGAACAUUUACAUUGAAAACAAACUAACCCAGUUGUUUUCUUCUCUGUUUUCCAGCACAGAUGUUUUUAUUUGCACCAGCCCUAUAAAACAUUAUAUACACUGCCCUGAUGAGAAGUGUGCGUGGAUAGAGAAACACCUGAGCUAUGACUUCUUGGAGCAGAUCAUCCUGACCUGAGACAAGACCAUGGUGACUGGGGACAUCCUCAUAGAUGACACGCCAGACAUCCUAGGUGUAGAGCCCAACCCAACCUGGGAGCCCAUCCUGUUCACUGUCUGCCACAACAAAAACGUAUCCUCCAGCCACCGCCGCCUGCUCUCCUGGGCCGAUGACUGGAGGGCCAUCCUGGAGAGCAAGAGGCACUGAACCCUUAAGCACACACCAACCUCCCCUUCUCCACCCUGAUGACCUACACUACAUUGGGGUUCAACUGCUAGAGUGAAUACCUCCACUAAUACACCACAGUGAAUCUCCAACUUGAAGUUAAAGGGAGGGGGGAACCAGCGAAGAGGGAGAAGAUAAACUGUCUCUGUAGAAUGGCUACCAAGAGAGGGGAGCGAUCCAAGAAGAUCCAUUAAGACGGUGACAAACCUGUGAUUGGUGUUAUAGUUUAAAGAUAAUCGUCUUGUGUUCCUGUGUCAUCUGAAGAAGAUGUGUUUUUCUUCGGGAGAUUCUCAUUGAUUGUGUUGGAGUGUUUGUAUCGUCAGAAAUCUCUCAACAGAGAACUGUGUUCAAUCAAGAAAACCUACUCGUGACUCGUUUAUUCCACCUUUCUGCUUUAGAGUGACACCAAAUUACUUGGUCCGCUCACACUAUAUAUAUUUUUUCAACCUAGUUUAGGUCGAUUUUUAUAGAGGGUUACAUAAAUGAAUAUGUUUUCAAGCUGCACCCAUUGCUUAUGUAAUUAUGUGUCCUUACCAAUCCACAUGCAUGUAUAAGGAAUGACAGAUAUAACUAGGUUUCAUGAUUUAAAAUGCAUGUUAAAUAUAUAACAAUUAUUAAAGUAGAAGAAAGUGAAUAUACUUAAUUUUUUGAAUAUACAUUAUACAUCACAAAUAUUUUAUUUCAAUAUUGUCAUUCAUCUAAGCGUAACUUAUUUGCAUUAGUCGUAUGUGUCUUUGUCACGGUUGUCGAAGGGUAAAGACCAAGAUGCAGCGGGAAAAUAUAUACUCAUCUUCUUUUUAUUUGGUGAAGAAGGGAAACACAAACGUAUACAAAAACACAAACGAACUGGACAGUCUUGUCAGGCACACAGCUAAACAAGCACAAUCUCCCACCAACUAACAGGUGAAAACAGGCGACCUAAGUAUGACUCUCAAUCAGCAACAACGAUGUACAGCAGUUCCUGAUUGAGAGCCACACCAGGCCAACACAGAAAUACAACACUAGACCAGCCCCCUAGAAAUACAAUACAAGAACAUACCCAACAACCCGGAACACCUAAAUCAAACACCCCAUCUUACAUAAAUACAUAUCUAAUAAACCCUGAACCACUUAAAUAAAUACCAUUUCUACAUAGAUAUACCACUAAACCCAGAAACACUCUACACAAAAUAACCCUCUAUAUAAACACAUAACCAAAAACAUGUACAACAAAUACCCUCUGCCACAUCCUGACCAAACUACAAUAACAAAUAGGCCCUUUACUGGUCAGGACGUGACAGUCUUAUUGUUAGUGAGACAAAAAAAAAACUUAACCUCAAAAUAUCCUAUACCCUCUGUUGUGAACAAAUAUGGUCAAGCUCUUCCAUCAAAAAGCAUGUAUAUCUCUUUGCAGGCCUUGCAGUAUAUUCACAAAGUGGUCUACUGAAGAACUUAUGAUCAAGUUGCCUUUAUUAACAAAGAACAACACUGAUUGCGAGCAAACAACUAAACGGGUAACCAUUUUGUGCUAUUUGUUGCAAUGGUGUCAGCUAUUGCUGCUACUUCCUAAAAUGUGGUCGCAGGCAGCAUUGUCAAUGGCCUAUCAAGCUUCUUAAAUGUUUCAUCCAUCACUCCUAGUGAGAGAAUGUACUGUACAGUACUUACACCUAGCUGAAUGUCUCUAGCUUCUAAUUCAGUUGUACAAAAUCAUUUGAAAUUGAUGCUAAAAUGUUGUUCAUUGGUAGUUCACCUAUUGUGAGUGUCCUUUCCCCCAGUGAUUCAGAGCGGGCAUAGCAAGCUUUGGCCUGACCUCUAUGUGGCUCUGGUUCUAUCUGUUUUCAGUCUAACCAUAUCAGCAUGAUGUUGAAGCGAACUAAUUUUGAAUCUUGUUUCACACAAUGCCUUUGUACCAAUGCCCCCUCCUUUUCUCUCCUCCUAUCUCUGAUGUUAAUCAAAUUGUAAAAGCACUGGUAGGCUUUUCUUGUGUUGAUUUUUAACCUUCCAUGUGUCUUUACAGUUGUCAUGAAGGUAAGGAGAUUAGGAAAAGAAUGUUGUCAAGACUGUUGGACAACAAGUGUUGUUGUUCACACAUGAUUGCCCUGAUGAUGACUGUCUAUGGGGCGAGUUAGGGCUAAGCAAUGUGUGUGACCACUGUACACUGCCCAGUCAACCACUGCGUCUCACAAAGCCUCUUCACGUCACUGCAUCUUGUCAAUGAUUGCCUCGUGUCUUUGGUGUUGAAUAAUAUGCCAAUGUGCUUUUUUGGAGAACAGAAAAUACACCAAAUGUUGCCAUUAACAACCGAUUGAAUAAAGAAUGCAACAUAUUGAAAA
This is a non-coding RNA of Salmo salar (Atlantic salmon), 5593 nucleotides long. The record is from RefSeq and is a predicted model, not a curated record. Lineage: Eukaryota; Metazoa; Chordata; Actinopteri; Salmoniformes; Salmonidae.